GCUGGGCAUGGUGGUGCAUGCUUGUAAUCCUAGCAGUUUGGGAGGCUGUGGCAGGAGGAUAGAGAGUUCUAAGCCAGUCUCAGCAACUU
This 89-nucleotide small RNA is filed under the name Marmota monax (woodchuck). Lineage: Eukaryota; Metazoa; Chordata; Mammalia; Rodentia; Sciuridae. The record is from RNAcentral.